GACGAACGCUGGCGGCGUGCUUAACACAUGCAAGUCGAACGGAAAGGCCCUGCUUUUGUGGGGUGCUCGAGUGGCGAACGGGUGAGUAACACGUGAGUAACCUGCCCUUGACUUUGGGAUAACUUCAGGAAACUGGGGCUAAUACCGGAUAGGAGCUCCUGCUGCAUGGUGGGGGUUGGAAAGUUUCGGCGGUUGGGGAUGGACUCGCGGCUUAUCAGCUUGUUGAUGGGGUAGUGGCUUACCAAGGCUUUGACGGGUAGCCGGCCUGAGAGGGUGACCGGCCACAUUGGGACUGAGAUACGGCCCAGACUCCUACGGGAGGCAGCAGUGGGGAAUAUUGCACAAUGGGCGGAAGCCUGAUGCAGCAACGCCGCGUGCGGGAUGACGGCCUUCGGGUUGUAAACCGCUUUCGCCUGUGACAAAGCGUGAGUGACGGUAAUGGGUAAAGAAGCACCGGCUAACUACGUG
This 468-nucleotide ribosomal RNA is filed under the name uncultured bacterium. Its description in RNAcentral is "partial 16S ribosomal RNA". It matches the Rfam family "Bacterial small subunit ribosomal RNA", at positions 28 to 507 of the family's 1533-position model. The record is from RNAcentral.